Molecule: ribosomal RNA, 617 nt
Filed under: uncultured archaeon
Lineage: Archaea
Description: bacterial SSU rRNA
Rfam family: Archaeal small subunit ribosomal RNA
Source: RNAcentral
AUGUGGCUGCGGCCGAUUAGGUCGACGGUGGGGUAACGGCCCACCGUGCCGAUAAUCGGUACGGGUUGUGAGAGCAAGAACCCGGAGACGGUAUCUGAGACAAGAUACCGGGCCCUACGGGGCGCAGCAGGCGCGAAACCUUUACACUGCACGACAGUGCGAUAGGGGGACUCCGAGUGCGAGGGCAUAUAGCCCUCGCUUUUCUGUACUGUAAGGUGGUACAGGAACAAGGACUGGGCAAGACCGGUGCCAGCCGCCGCGGUAAUACCGGCAGUCCAAGUGAUGGCCGAUAUUAUUGGGCCUAAAGCGUCCGUAGCCGGCCGGACAAGUCCGUUGGGAAAUCGACGCGCUCAACGCGUCGGCGUCCAGCGGAAACUGUCCGGCUUGGGGCCGGAAGACCUGAGGGGUACGUCCGGGGUAGGAGUGAAAUCCUGUAAUCCUGGACGGACCACCAAUGGGGAAACCACCUCAGGAAGACGGACCCGACGGUGAGGGACGAAAGCUAGGGUCUCGAACCGGAUUAGAUACCCGGGUAGUCCUAGCUGUAAACGAUGCUCGCUAGGUGUGCCGUAGGUUACGAGCCUGCGCUGCGCCCUAGGGAAGCCGAGAAGCGAGCC